Molecule: transfer RNA, 59 nt
Filed under: Patescibacteria group bacterium
Lineage: Bacteria
Description: tRNA-Glu
Rfam family: tRNA
About the family: Transfer RNA (tRNA) molecules are approximately 80 nucleotides in length. Their secondary structure includes four short double-helical elements and three loops (D, anti-codon, and T loops).
Source: RNAcentral
CGUCUAGCGGCCCAAGACAUCUGGUUCUCAGCCAGAAGAUCAGGGGUUCGAAUCCCCUA